This 274-nucleotide ribosomal RNA is filed under the name uncultured soil bacterium. Its description in RNAcentral is "partial 16S ribosomal RNA". It matches the Rfam family "Bacterial small subunit ribosomal RNA", at positions 26 to 285 of the family's 1533-position model. The record is from RNAcentral.
AGAAUCAACGCUGGCGGCGUGCCUAACACAUGCAAGUCGAACGCGAAAGGGGAGCAAUCCCUGAGUAGAGUGGCAAACGGGUGAGUAACACGUGGGUGACCUGCCUUCGAGUGGGGGAUAACGUUCCGAAAGGAACGCUAAUACCGCAUGACAUCCUGCUUUUGGAAAAGCGGCGAUCAAAGCUGGGGAUUCGCAAGAACCUAGCGCUUGAAGAGGGGCCCGCGCCUGAUUAGCCAGUUGGUGAGGUAACGGCUCACCAAGGCUACGAUCAGUA